RNAcentral lists this ribosomal RNA (253 nucleotides) under uncultured bacterium. RNAcentral's name for it is "partial 16S ribosomal RNA". It matches the Rfam family "Bacterial small subunit ribosomal RNA", at positions 524 to 776 of the family's 1533-position model. The record is from RNAcentral.
UACGUAGGGGGCGAGCGUUAUCCGGAUUCACUGGGUGUAAAGGGAGCGUAGACGGCCAUGCAAGCCAGGGGUGAAAGCCCGGGGCCCAACCCCGGGACUGCCCUUGGAACUGCAUGGCUGGAGUGCGGGAGGGGCAGGCGGAAUUCCUGGUGUAGCGGUGAAAUGCGUAGAUAUUAGGAGGAACACCAGUGGCGAAGGCGGCUUACUGGACUGUAACUGACACUGAGGCUCGAAAGCGUGGGGAGCAAACAGG